Molecule: ribosomal RNA, 254 nt
Filed under: uncultured bacterium
Lineage: Bacteria
Description: partial 16S ribosomal RNA
Rfam family: Bacterial small subunit ribosomal RNA
Source: RNAcentral
UACAGAGACUGCGAGCGUUAUUCGGAUUCACUGGGCGUAAAGGGCUCGUAGGCGGCCAACUAAGUCGGAUGUGAAAUCCCCAGGCUUAACCUGGGAACUGCAUCCGAUACUGGAUGGCUUGAAUCCGGGAGAGGGAUGCAGAAUUCCAGGUGUAGCGGUGAAAUGCGUAGAUAUCUGGAGGAAUACCGGUGGCGAAGGCGGCAUCCUGGACCGGCAUUGACGCUGAUGAGCGAAAGCCAGGGGAGCAAAGCGGG